GAAGCAAUGGGGCUGGGGAGUGACACCCUGGCUGGAGGGCAGAAGGAAAGCAGGCAUGUGUCCCACACAAGUCCCACCCCUGGGGUGGCAGUCGGGGGGAGCUCACUUGGCUCCCCAGGCCCAGCAGCCGAGCAGAGGAGCCCCGUGCACACAGCAUCCCCUCACCUGGAGAUCUGAGUGGGGAUUCAGUGCUCUGUGGAGGAGAUUCCUGAAUCCCUUCUGUCCUUGGCAGCAGAGGCCUGGGGGAAGUGCCUUGUGCCAGUUUGUGCCUCCGAGAGCUGAGCACAGCUGAGAACCCGGGCAGGGCAGCCGAGCUCUGCCAGGCCCCCAGCAGCCUGUGAGUGCCAAAAAGCAGCGCUGUGAACAUCUGCCAGCCCAGGGGUGGUGGAUCUGGGACUUGGAUAUGCCUGUAUGUACAAACUCGAGCGCUGUGUUCCAGCAGGAACGAAGACAACAAUAACCACAUCACCCUCUCCUGGAUGGGAGAGCUCUGGCAGCUCCCUGUGCUGCCCAGGAACUAAUUCUGCACGCUGGGAAGAGAUUUCAGUCCUGCUUACCACCCUGGCCAGGCUGAAAGGCGGACAAGGAUUGUUCUUCCUUACGGGUUUCUGGCCCUCAGCUGGGUGCAGGUCCCUGCUCUGCAGGAAGCAGAAUCUCAGUUGGUUUUCAGGACCCACUGAUCACAUCUGGCACAUCUGGCACUGCCAAAGGCAGUUUGUGUCACCCCUGCUCUGCCCUGCUUCGAUAAAUGGUGUGCACAGCUCUCAUUGACAAGAAACAAGGGUCUGAGGGCAGGGAGCUCUCUGUGACAUGGGCACCCUCCCUCCAAAACUGCUCCUCACUGCAGCUACAGCAGCUCUGCCAGAGGGAGCUGGGGUUUAUCUGGAGCUGACAUGUGAGAAGCAGCUCAGAAAAGCUUUUUUGUUUGCCUUAAAUACAAACAUUGAAAUGGAUAUUUCUGUAUCCAUACUCAGAUAGGAGCUGCCUGAGCACCUUCCCUCCAGGCUGCCAGUGAAUCCUUUAUACCCCCCUCAAAGGUCCCAGCACUCCCAGGCUCAUUUGCUGCUUCUUCUUCUUCCUUUUUCUUUUUGGCUGAUGUGCUGUGUCAAAGGGAAUGAUGCAAACAGCUCCUAAGAGCAAAUCCCAGAGUCCAGCUGGAACUGGGGCUGCCUUGGGCUGGCACCAAGCACUGGGGAUGAUGUCAAAGCAGGGUGGGAAUGUGCUCUGCUUUAUUGCCUCAACAAGGGAGAUCAGGCAGGAGGAAACUCCUGGGAGAGCCCAGUGGGGACGAGAAGGAGAGAUGUGAAUGCAUCCAGAGGAUGGUUGGCUCUUUGUUCUGGAUCUGAGUUUGUUCCCAUGCUGAAUAAAUGGUUUCAUGAAUGUGA
Parus major (Great Tit) is the source of this 1385-nucleotide long non-coding RNA. RefSeq lists it as uncharacterized. NCBI's taxonomy places the organism in Eukaryota, Metazoa, Chordata, Aves, Passeriformes, Paridae. The record is from RefSeq and is a predicted model, not a curated record. The transcript has 2 exons.